GCAUAUCAAUAAGCGGAGGAAAAGAAACCAACAGGGAUUGCCCUAGUAACGGCGAGUGAAGCGGCAACAGCUCAAAUUUGAAAUCUGGCCCCAGGCCCGAGUUGUAAUUUGCAGAGGAUGCUUCGGGCGCGGUGCCUUCCAAGUCCCCUGGAACGGGGCGCCAUGGAGGGUGAGAGCCCCGUAUGGUCGGACACCAAGCCUAUGUGAAGCUCCUUCGACGAGUCGAGUAGUUUGGGAAUGCUGCUCUAAAUGGGAGGUAGACCCCUUCUAAAGCUAAAUACCGGCUAGAGACCGAUAGCGCACAAGUAGAGUGAUCGAAAGAUGAAAAGAACUUUGAAAAGAGGGUUAAACAGCACGUGAAAUUGUUAAAAGGGAAGCGCUUGUGACCAGACUUGCGCCGGGGCGAUCAUCUGGCGUUCUCGCCGGUGCACUCGCCCCGGCCCAGGCCAGCGUCGGUUCGGGAGGGGGGACAAGGACGUUGGGGACGUGGCUCCCCCGGGAGUGUUACAGCCCAGCGUGUCAUGCCCCCGCCCGGACCGAGGUUCGCGCUCUGCAAGGACGCUGGCGUAAUGGUCAUCAGCGGCCCGUCUUGAAACACGGACCAAGGAGUCGAGGUUCUGCGCGAGUGUUUGGGUGCCAAACCCGCACGCGUAAUGAAAGUGAACGUAGGUGGGAGCCUCGGCGCACCACCGACCGAUCCUGAUGUUUUCGGAUGGAUUUGAGUACGAGCGUUGGGCCUCGGACCCGAAAGAUGGUGAACUAUGCUUGGAUAGGGUGAAGCCAGAGGAAACUCUGGUGGAGGCUCGCAGCGGUUCUGACGUGCAAAUCGAUCGUCAAAUCUGAGCAUGGGGGCGAAAGACUAAUCGAACCAUCUAGUAGCUGGUUACCGCCGA
RNAcentral lists this ribosomal RNA (893 nucleotides) under Gongromeriza myriocarpa. RNAcentral's name for it is "LSU rRNA". It matches the Rfam family "Eukaryotic large subunit ribosomal RNA", at positions 38 to 964 of the family's 3401-position model. Lineage: Eukaryota; Fungi; Ascomycota; Sordariomycetes; Chaetosphaeriales; Chaetosphaeriaceae. The record is from RNAcentral.